Passer domesticus (house sparrow) is the source of this 1107-nucleotide long non-coding RNA. RefSeq lists it as uncharacterized. The record is from RefSeq and is a predicted model, not a curated record. NCBI's taxonomy places the organism in Eukaryota, Metazoa, Chordata, Aves, Passeriformes, Passeridae. The transcript has 2 exons.
AAUUUAGAGCAGCAAGACGGGAGGGAUGUGAAUUUUGCAAAUCGGAGUUUACUUGCUCUGGAGCCUCUCAGCAGCUCUCUCUUUGGUUUGCGGCCAAAGAACUGCCGACAAAGAGAAGGGGGGGGGGGGGGAAAAAUCCUUGCAGAAAGGCGUCGGCAUUGUUUCUGUUUAAAGGCAGUGCGCUGCCAGCUCGACAGCGUGCGAGCUCUCCCUUCCAGCCAGGACACAUCUCUCCCGCAGCCCUCGCUGCGCUGCGAGCCGAACCGAACGAGGCAGCGAAAAGUUUCGAUUAUUAUUGUCAUUUACCAGCAACUCUGGCAGAGGCAGCGCGGUCCCCGCACCUGCCCGCCCUCCAUCCCGGGGCAGAGCCCUGGGGCAGGAGCCGGGCACGCCGCGUUCCCCGCUCCCAUGCCGGGGGGGAAGCCUGGCCCCGGGAUGAACUUUGUAAACACGGCUCGGGAGCCGAGGCUGCGGAGCCCGGGAUCCCCGCGCCGGCAGGGAGAGCUGGCAGCGCUCGGUGCUGGCAGCGCCCAGCCCUCCCCUCUGCCAGCCUCCCCUUCCCCUUUAAAUCAACAUCCGUGUGCGAGGCAGGCAGGCAGGAUCCCCCCCCUUCCCCUGGAAAAGGGAUGCGGAGCCCGGCCGGGAUCAGGGAACGCCGCCCGCAGCCGCCUCCGGAGCCGCCACUUGGGGAAAAACAGCAAAAGUACCUUUUGAAUUCUUCCGUCAAUGUCCAAAUAAAUACAUUUGGGCCGGGCUGUUUCCAUCAACGGGCAGAAGAACUUUUUCUCAAUAGAAGAGAUGAAAGAGUCUCUCAGCUUUUAGGGAGGGAGGCCAAAAAACCGUCACAGAAUCCAUGUGAAAAAGAUGACAAAAGCCUCCAGCAGCACUGAAACUGUCUGAUCUGCUCUGCCAGAACAUUGGAAGCCAACAUGAAACAGGGACAUUUUUAACUAAUUCCCAAAAUUACGAGUACUUGAGUGUCCCUUUUCCUGGGAGUCACACAACUCUCCAGAGCGUUCCUACCAUCUCCAAAAGUCCCAGGUCAUGACAAUCAAAGGAACUAAACAGAUUGGAUGGCAAAUCAUUACUGUCUGCCUUCAAAUAACA